ACAAGCGGUGGAGUAUGUGGUUUAAUUCGAUGCAACGCGAAGAACCUUACCUGGUCUUGACAUCCCGGAGACCCUUAGGAAACUAGGGGUGCUUCCAUCUGGAAGAAUCUGGAGACAGGUGCUGCAUGGCUGUCGUCAGCUCGUGUCGUGAGAUGUUGGGUUAAGUCCCGCAACGAGCGCAACCCUUGCCUUUAGUUGCCAGCAGUUCGGCUGGGCACUCUAAAGGGACUGCCGGUGUUAAACCGGAGGAAGGUGGGGGAUGACGUCAAGUCCUCAUGGCCUUUAUGACCAGGGCUACACACGUACUACAAUGGCCGAUACAAAGGGCAGCGACACUGCGAGGUGAAGCCAAUCCCGUAAAAUCGGUCUCAGUCCGGAUUGGAGUCUGCAACUCGACUCCAUGAAGUUGGAAUCGCUAGUAAUCGUGGAUCAGCAUGCCACGGUGAAUACGUUCCCGGGCCUU
Molecule: ribosomal RNA, 463 nt
Filed under: uncultured Desulfobulbus sp.
Lineage: Bacteria; Pseudomonadati; Thermodesulfobacteriota; Desulfobulbia; Desulfobulbales; Desulfobulbaceae
Description: bacterial SSU rRNA
Rfam family: Bacterial small subunit ribosomal RNA
Source: RNAcentral